RNAcentral lists this ribosomal RNA (459 nucleotides) under uncultured bacterium. RNAcentral's name for it is "partial 16S ribosomal RNA". It matches the Rfam family "Bacterial small subunit ribosomal RNA", at positions 338 to 795 of the family's 1533-position model. The record is from RNAcentral.
CCUACGGGAGGCAGCAGUGAGGAAUAUUGGUCAAUGGGCGCGAGCCUGAACCAGCCAAGUCGCGUGAGGGAAGACGGUCCUAUGGAUUGUAAACCUCUUUUGUCGGGGAGCAAAAGACGCCACGCGUGGCGUUCCGAGAGUACCCGAAGAAAACGCAUCGGCUAACUCCGUGCCAGCAGCCGCGGUAAUACUGAGGAUGCGAGCGUUAUCCGGAUUUAUUGGGUUUAAAGGGUGCGCAGGCGGAAGGUUAAGUCAGCGGUAAAAUUGAGAGGCUCAACCUCUUCGAGCCGUUGAAAAUGGUUUGCUUGAGUGAGCGAGAAGUAUGCGGAAUGCGUGGUGUAGCGGUGAAAUGCAUAGAUAUCACGCAGAACUCCGAUGGCGAAGGCAGCAUACCGGCGCUCAACUGACGCUCAUGCACGAAAGUGUGGGUAUCGAACAGGAUUAGAUACCCGGGUAGUC